AAAUUCAACUCAGGUCUCCCAUAUGGAUGGCAGGAUCCAAAUACAUGAACCUCACAUGCUACUUCCAGAGUGAACAUUAACAGGAAUGUUAAUAAUGCCAUUUCUGCUACCUGAAACACCCCUUCCAGCUUGAUUCUUUUGAUGAUCCAGCUCCAAAUUGAGUUUUGCCUCCUGACAGAGAUGUUGAACCAUCCACACAAUGCUUUGGCUCUCCCACUCUUCCAAAGAAGUGCUGUGCUGUCACAUGCUCUAUUUUCUCUUUUAAUUGCUCAUCGAUGUUCCUGUGAGAAUAGACAUGUGUUCUUGGAAUUUAGUUGAGCUUCUGCUUUAGAGCAAUUUGACAAGGUAAUGUGAUCUUCCCAGGUUACAGUUUGUGUGAGAUGGUAGAUCAUUCAUUUCCCGAGUCAGUUCUAGAAGAACUCUUCCAGGUCUUGUGAUUGGCCUUGUCCAGUGGGAUCUUCUCCACCAAGACCAAAGUGUUGGAAGCUGUAGGAUCUACUUUCAUCCUGAAGAGAUCAAGACAGGAUCCAGAAAACUGGACUAGCAAUAUUUAGUUGUCUGGUGUUCCAAUGCGCCUCACAUGGACUCCGCCUCCAAAAUGCCUAUUACCAUAACUGCUAGAAUUAACACUGCCUGUUUUGAUUUGCAGCCAAAGCCCUUUGCUUUCAAACUAAGUGAACACUAUUGUAAUACCCAAUAAAC
Molecule: long non-coding RNA, 702 nt
Organism: Ochotona curzoniae (black-lipped pika)
Lineage: Eukaryota; Metazoa; Chordata; Mammalia; Lagomorpha; Ochotonidae
Exons: 3
Source: RefSeq, a predicted model, not a curated record